This 484-nucleotide ribosomal RNA is filed under the name uncultured bacterium. Its description in RNAcentral is "partial 16S ribosomal RNA". It matches the Rfam family "Bacterial small subunit ribosomal RNA", at positions 30 to 507 of the family's 1533-position model. The record is from RNAcentral.
AUUGAACGCUGGCGGCAGGCCUAACGCAUGCAAGUCGAGCGGAUGAAGGGAGCUUGCUCCUGGAUUCAGCGGCGGACGGGUGAGUAAUGCCUAGGAAUCUGCCUGGUAGUGGGGGAUAACGUCCGGAAACGGGCGCUAAUACCGCAUACGUCCUGAGGGAGAAAGUGGGGGAUCUUCGGACCUCACGCUAUCAGAUGAGCCUAGGUCGGAUUAGCUAGUUGGUGGGGUAAAGGCCUACCAAGGCGACGAUCCGUAACUGGUCUGAGAGGAUGAUCAGUCACACUGGAACUGAGACACGGUCCAGACUCCUACGGGAGGCAGCAGUGGGGAAUAUUGGACAAUGGGCGAAAGCAUGAUCCAGCCAUGCCGCGUGUGUGAAGAAGGUCUUCGGAUUGUAAAGCACUUUAAGUUGGGAGGAAGGGCAGUAAGUUAAUACCUUGCUGUUUUGACGUUACCAACAGAAUAAGCACCGGCUAACUUCGUG